AUGGAUGCCCGGGGUCGCCGGCCCCGCAGAGGGACGAGGAUGCUCACCGGGAGCUGGAUGGCCGACGCGGGCCUUUUCGAGAGCAGCAGCACCCGCAGCAAGCUCUGGCUGUGCCAUCAGAGCCCCGGAGGGGAUGGAGGGGAGGCGAGCUCGCGGCAGCCUCGGUGUCCCUGUACGUUUAUCACAGGAGCCAAGUCCCGCUUUGCAAGAUCUUUUUUCAGCCGAGCAGCUUGUGCUGGCAUUUGCAAGCUCCAUGGAGCCGAUCCCUUUUUGCACCUCUGCUUUCGGCCCUGCUGCGGAAACCAUGGCACCACCGCAGGGAGCGAAUGGCCGGGACGGGCAGAGGGGAGAUGGAGCAAGCAGAGGAGAAAGGGUGCAGGGUACAGCACCACCUUCGGCUUAGCAAAUUUGGGAAAUAAAGCACAAAACUUUUAGGAAGGAGGAAAGAGAGAGAUUCGAUCCAUCCCCUUGUGUCCCAGCUCAGAUCACUCCACACAGCGAUGCGUGGCAAGCCAUCUCCUUCCCCACACGCCAAUUUCCCUCCCUGUAGGACUUGGGGCUGGUACCACUGACAUCCCAGCCUCGCAGCCCCACUGCCCUGUCCUGGACACCCAGACACGUCCGACCCCAAUGGGACAGAGAGCGGGGGGCUCAGCUCUCCCCUGGUGAGCCCCUGGGGAAGGGGGUGUCACAUCCCAGCUCCCCAAAAUACCCCACAACUGCUGGAAAUCGCCCAGCCCUGGGAUUCUCUCCCACCCGUGCCCAAGGGUUCAGGAUGCCCUGACGCCGCUGCAGCCGAGUUUCUUCCCCAGCAGAUGUUACCAAUUUUUCUUUGCCGUUGAUAUCUUGCUUGCAAUUACUCCAGAAAGUGACAACAGUACAAGGGUCUGCGAUACUAUUUCGCUGCUGUAAUUUCUGCAAGAGGCUGGCCCGUGAGAGUGAAUCUCCCACCUCUCCAAGGCUCUUUCUCCCAGGUCGCUGUUUUGCCAAGGCACCCCGAAAUCCCCAGCUGCCUCCUCGCCCCGUGCCUGGAGGGCUGUCAGCUUAACACAUCGGCAUCUCCUUCCGGACUGUUGAGUGAUCUGAGCUGCCAACAUCACUUUCCAUCUGUUUACAUCAUGUGCUUCUAAAAGAGCAUAGAGGAUUUGAACUCCGAUUUUAAUUUUUCUCUCUUUCUGUUGGAGCAAAUAUGGAUUGGUUUCUCCCUGGUACUUCUCACCCCUGCCCCCUGCGUUUGCAGAUCCCGGUGGGUGCCAGAGCCAGGGCUGGCACGAGCAGACGGCCCUGGAUGUUUGCUCGGGUUGUUCUGGAGGAGCUGUGGCACGCAGGGAUGUGUCCCCCUGUCCUCACCCAGGUGUCCAUGUGCUGCCGUCCUGGGGUCCCCCUCCUCUAUCCCGGGGGUGCCGUGAGGUUGGAAAGCGCAGGAGACGCCGCUGAUGUCCCCAGUGAGAGGGGGCUGUGGGUGGCACUGGGGGGGGGACGUGGGGGAUACCCGGCCUGGGCAGCACAGCUUAUGGGGGGCUCUUGUGUAUUCUGCAGGGAUCGGUGUGAAUUUCCCCACUGAUUGGGGAAAACAUCGGUACCCAGGCUGGUGCCCAGGCGAGUGGCUAAGCCCCACUUGUCAACGGGACUUACGGACGUGCUUAAGCUAAGCACGCAUCUGAACACCUCCCGGAACGGACGCCAACACCGAUAACGAGUGCAUCUCCCGGCCCUUUCGGAGCCGCAGCCUUUCAGGCCACGCGCAAACCCACAGAAACCCCGCUGUCCCCGGCGUGCCCAGCCCCGAGGACGCAGCACAGCAUUUCCCACGGGGCCCCCACCGCCAACCCGCUCGGUGCCGAAUCCGCGGCGGCGCCUUCCUCCCGCACCCACCCGCCGGAGCUCGCUGCUCUGUAAUUACAGCUCCGCCACCAGCUCGCCCCGUGCCAUGCCGGCCACCCCUCACGGGUGCCGGGCAUCAAAGGUGGGGGGGGGCUGGCAGAGCCGCGGCCCCCCGGGACCCACCGGCAGCUUUGUUCCCGACAAGUCGGGGCCCUCCUACUGCCGCCUCCGUGCCCACCCCCACCCCGGCGAGGCAUCACAGCUCCUAACGAAACGGAACUGCUGCCAGAUGAAAUAUAUUACUAUUAAAUACUUAAUUCUUCUAGUGAGCGGAGAGCAGCCAGUAUGAAUACGAUUAUUAAAGAAAAUUACUUUGGCUGAUCAGAUAUUUCUGCAUACUAAUUUCUGACCCUUCUUUCCUCUCUGCUUGCUUCUCAUCCCUUAGAGACCAGGACAGAUAAAAUUCCAUCACAAAUAGCUGAUUACUGGGGCUUGCAUUAAAAUCAAAUUUUUUUUCCUCUCGGCGCUAAUGUCCUUGCCUAAAGUAGAGGCAGCAGCUGUCAAAAAAAAAAAAAAAAAAGCCUAGAGAUUGGUCUAGAUCUGAAUAUCCCUGAACUUUGAGGCUGCUGGUGUUGCUGUCUGGAUCCAGAUUUGGAGGUUGUCUCUCCAGCCGGCCGGGCAGGGCUUGUGCAGCGGGGCCUGGAGGAGGCUGGCUGAGGCUGGAAGGUGGCAUGCUGCAGGAUCCGUCCCUCCCCGCUGCCCUGCCCUGUCCUGCUCCUGCUCCUGCUCCAGCCCUGGGCUCCCUCCCAGCCUGCUGCAGCCAACGUUUCCAGUUCCCAGCGAAGAAGGCAGAGGUUACACCACGCUGACAGAAGCGGGUGGAUUGAAUGGGGCAGGCAACAGGAAAAGUACAGACUGGGGGGUUGAACCCUGCACGGCAUCACCCCUCUUCCCGCUCCCAUUCGGGCAGACAGAGGCAGGGCCAACACAAAAACCUCUCUCCCUGCUGAGACCGACCAACUUCUGAAGUUUCUUUGCCUCCCAUCGCCCACCGCCCAGGCCACGGUCAACCUGUCACAGCGCAAGGAUGCCACGGAAAAUAAUUCGCUCCUGUCUCAUCCCGUCCCCACCAUCACCACCGCCACCUCCCCCUGCUAACGUACCCAACCUGGAAGCCUCCAAUUUACCUGCUUUUAAAUAAAGACACUUGUAAAGGUGUCA
RNAcentral lists this long non-coding RNA (3045 nucleotides) under Anser cygnoides (Swan goose). RNAcentral describes it as "lncRNA (ENSACDG00005001743.1)". The record is from RNAcentral. Lineage: Eukaryota; Metazoa; Chordata; Aves; Anseriformes; Anatidae.